ACAAUUUCUUGUUCUCGGUUAGCUUGAGUGAUUGGAGCUUCUUCAUUUCCUCAAACAUCUCCCUAGGAAAAGAUUUUAUUUGAGUCCUUGUGAGCUCGAGUGUUGUUAGACUAGACAAUGCAACAAUGGAGGGUGGCAUCUCCUCAAGGUUGGAGCAUUUGACAAGCAGGAGCUCUUUUAGAUUAGGCAUGUUACGGAAGAAGUCGCCUUGGAAGUUGCUUAUAUUUGAAUAGGAGAGAUCGAAGUAGUAGAGCGAGCUGAGCUUUUUGUUGUUGUUGUUUUCACGGAGAGUAAUUUCUGUAUCUGGGAAGCUGAAUGGACUUCUGAGGUUAUAGCAGCCCCUAAGAGAAAGCAAUUGGAGUUUUUGGAGACAACAGAUUGAAGGAGGAAGUGAUUCUAGAGGAGUGUAGGAAAGAUCCAGAACAUGAAGGCAAGAAAGCUUGGCCAAGAAAUGAUUAGAUUGAAGCUUCAUGAACAACCUCGACUGCUGGGGGCAAUGCCUUAUAAUGAGUGUUGUUGGGCCGCUGGCUCCCUGCCUUAACCAUUCUCUGCUUACAUGCCAUCCUUGAUCACCCAGAUGUGAGAUCCACCGCAUGCGCUCCAGUCCAGGAUGAUUUCCCUCACAAAAAAAAACUUCUUCUGUUGUGUGGCACUCUGCAACGAGAUUAUAACAAGCUAGGAAGUGUGCAGCAGAUUUUGUGGCUUCAUCAACUUUAGUUGCAGGUGAAAAGAGAAGCUGCAGCAACGAGUACUCUCGAAAAGCUUCAAGGAUGACAUUUCCCACUUGGUAUAUAUUAUUGUAUUUGCCUUGGCAGUCAGCUGCUGUCACCUCCGUUGUUCUUUCUAGCACGCCAGUAAUGAGGCCCUGUAUGGCCCAUUGACGUAUCAGCUGCUCAUCUGAAGUAAUAUCAGCUAGUGCAUCAGAACUCUGCUGAUCUCCAUCUCUAUGGGCAUAUGAACAGUGUGGAAUGAGCAGCAUGAGGAUGUAGUGAAAGCACCGGACGGCCACGUGGUGCCAAUAUUGUUCAUCUUUGUGGCCGGUCACGCCCAAGAUGUACUUAGCUGUCUGAUGCAGUGAGUAGAGAGUAAGCAUCAAUAUGUCAUCCCCACUGAAAGAAUCAACGAUACAAUUAUAAUCCGGCUUGCUCCUGUCAUAGACAUCUUUGGAGGUGCCGGAUACAAUCCAGAAAGAGCCUUCCCACUGAGGAGGAGGAAGGCAUGAUAAGUCUUCGGUGAAAGCACUAAGAUUGAUGGGCUUAAUGGGCUCAUUGAGGUUGUUAAUCACCAGCAGGUACUUCUUCUCCAGCAGCUUUUUCACUAUUUGAUAAACCGUUGAUUUUACAUUUUUUUGCAAGGAGUCCGUUGCAUCCUGGUAGCCAUAGGUAUAGUACCACAGCUCAUCGCCCUCUGCUUUUAGCAUGUCGUAUUCUUGGUUGAGUAGCCCAAGCUGCUCCGCCACUUUGAUGGCCAGCUUGUCAUUAAUACUGAGCCUCGUUCCAAGCACUAACGCCUGCUUCAUGUCCACCUCUAUCACGUGGUCAAAGGGACCUUCCUCCUUGAUCUUGACCUCCCGAAUGAUGCUUGAUAUAGCUCGUGUGAAACAUGCUGCGGGUCCCACCCCAACAUUCCACUGCACGAAUCCAUACCUGUCGAGUUUUUCUUCCAAGUCACGAUAUGCAGGGCUCUUGAGAAAUCCUUUCAACCUGGCAGCACAAAUAAAAAAGGCUCCGUUACGUGCUUUUUGAACAACUUGUGCUCAAUGUUGAGUAAUUUGUUAAUCAUAUUCUCUUUUAUGCCUGCCCAUUUAUUUUAUUUUUAUUCUCACGUUUGACGCUACUGAAAACAGCAAACAUGAAGCUUAAUGCCGAUACUGUACAUCCUUGUCCGUUGACAUAUAAAAUCACUUUUUUAUGCAUGUUUUAUCAACAAACUUAUUUGAUAAUGAUAACAAUAAUAAGUAUAAGAAUUCGGGUGCAUAUCUGAGUGAAAAUGCUGCCAUUAACACCGGGUAUGGGAAAGACAAGCAAAAUAAUUCUUUCUUUUCUUCAAAAUAAUUCUUUCUUUUCUUCACGAUAUAACUGUUAAUUGAAUAAAUAAAGCUUGCCAUGUGGCUUUCUUUAAAAAAACAUAAGUAGAAAUGUGGCCUGCAUAAAUUUUUGUGUUGUUGUUCUGAUGACCAAAAAUAUAUGUUUAAAUAUUCUUUUAGGCAAUAUAAAUCUUUAUGUUUUAGCAAAACAGGAACAAUUAACUGGCACUUAUAACACUUUAUGAAGCCAUUGAACAUAUUAGGUGACCUAGAGAAAUGGAUUAAGAAAACAAAGCAUAUGCAUCCGAGAGAAAAAGGAGGAACAAAAUUAGGAGAUUCGAGAAAGAUGAUCAUGGCGUGGUGGCGGAGGCGGUGGGGCUUAUAACUCUAUUGCUGACUUGUUUGAAUCAAGUGCACGUCAUAUGACUAGCUCCCUCAUCAAGUUCAUCCCAUUGUUUCACCUAAGUUGAUGUAUGAGUUCCUAUUGAGGGUAUAGUGAUGAUGAGAUUAAAAAGCCUUGAAUUGCAUGGGCGGUCUCAAAGCACCAGGGGUUGAUGGUAUGCCAGCUUUAUUUUUUAAAAAAAUAUUGGGAUAUUGUUGGCAAAGAUGUGUGGUGCAGGAGGUGAGGAAGCUACCGUUGGAAGGUGAAAUGCCCAAAUGAUGGAAUGUCAUUUCACUAGAUAUGAUUGCCUAGAACAAAAAUGUGAUUUUGUGCCCGGCCAUCUAAUCACGUAUAAUGUGCUCUUAUAGAUGAACCCACUUCAUGCAGACAAAAAUGUCGUCGUUGUUGGCACCAAUAGAACACGGGCUAUGAUUUUUCCUGGCAAUUUCCCGACCCACCGGUGUAGCGUAGCCACCGAGAAGGGAGCUGCAGAGCCAUGCCUCGUACACGGUCCGUGCUGGGGAGUAUGGCUUGCACUACUAGAGAACUGACUUUAGAUACCACCCCAUUUAGUCUCAGUUUAAUUUCGACCCGGGAGAAAAGGGGGUGCGCUACAAUUUAUUCCUGGUUGGUAUUUGCAAUCGGGACUAAAGGGGACCUUUUAGUCCCGGUUCAAAAAUCAGGCACCUGUGAGGAUCCUUUAGUCCCGGUUGAAAAAUUCAGGCACACGUGGGGGACCCUUUAGUCCAGGUUGGUAAGAUCAAUCGGGACUAAAAGGUGACCCUUACCACCCGGGACUAAAGCAACCGGGAUAAAAGGUGGCUAAAAAAAGAAUAAAGCCCUCGGACCCUUUUUAUGCCGGUUGGUGUUUCCAACCGGGAUAAAAGGGUCCCCCACGUGUGGCUGGGAAAGGACUAAAUCCCUCGAACCUUUUUAUCCCGGUUGGUAUUACCAACCGAGAUUAAAUGAGGUCUUUAAUCCCGGUUGGUGUUACCAACCCGGAUUAAAGGGUCCUCCAUGAGUUAAUAUAAAAGGAUAGUAUCCCCUAUAUAGACAGAUGUGGUGUGUAGGUGGGAUGGCAAGGAAGCUAUGCGCAAGUCUUGAGGUCAUGGGUUUGAAGCCCACGGACCACGCACGCACAUAUUUCGCGUGAAAAAUCGUGUGACUUGAUAAAAGCAACGUUGUGCGUGUGGGGGGCCUCUAGGACCCCCCGAUAUUUUUUAUUUUUGCAAUUUUUUUUUGCAAAACCGCGUGGCAACCGUUUUAUCCCGGUUGGUAUUACCAAUCGGGACUAAAAGGGGAUCUUAUAUCCCGAUUUUGGGACCCGUGAUAAAAGACACCCCCCUUUUAUCUUGACGGAUUAAUCCCGGAUGUAUGUUCGGGAGAUAUGCACCCUGCGAACCGGUACUAAUACCAAGUUUUCUAGUAGGGUUGAGAGAGUGGUGAGCAUUCAUAAUGCGAACCCAUUGCGCCGGCGGGCAAGAUAUGGGGCCCUACUGUUGCUGACCGAGAAGACAUCGGAUCUGGUAGUAGGUGAACUAGAUCCGGCUCGGGAGGCCGCACUCCCGCCGCUAGCACCGGUUGCUAUGGCUGCCGAUGGGUAUCACCAAGCCAGGAUGGGGGAGGUAGGGAGAGGACGGGUGGAUGCUAGAUCUAGCUGGAUAGGGGUGGAUCUAGCCUCUGCAGAGCCAACUGCAACCCAUUGGAGCUUGCCUAGCCAUGGUGGCUUUUGGUGCAAAAAGAGAAGGCCACGUGGGGGGAGGAGACCCGCUGGUGGAGGCCCGCUGCCGCCAUCCUCACACCUGCAUGGGCUUCCGGCGUGGCGCUCUGGUGGCAGCAAGGUGGAGGGAGGGGGAGGGUAUAUAGUGGUGGUGGUGGCGGCCCGCUAGAGGCACCCUAGGUGGAGAGGGUGACACGAGCAGCCUUCCAACGAUCUACAAUGGGUUGUCUAUUAAAUUGUUUCUCAAUAUUCUACACUAAUUAAUGAUUACACAAAAAGACACAUACAAUGGUUAUUGUGUUGUCUAUAAAACAUCUAAAUUGUGUUGGCCAUCAUAUCUUGUGCCAAACCCAUCUCUUUGUGAAGAUACAGCUUUGCUCGCUCUCAUUUACUCUAUGCCACAUGAGGUAGAAAUGCUUGCAUGGCUCAUGUAACUGAUCUUACAAAGUUUUGGGUAAAGUUUUAUGAGUAAGAGUAAACUCUAGUUCCCGUGUCCUAGCAUAUAUAUACUCCUUCACCAACAUCGAGGAGGUUCUUCAUUAGCAUUCCGAACAGGAGUUUCUUGAAUUCCUCUUCUUCCCCUCAUUUGUUUAGUAAUCCAUUUCUUGAGAGAAUGAGAGCAUUCUACCAUCAAACAAGUGUCGCUGCCUUGUUACUUGAGGUUGCUACAUCCUAGAAGAUUCUUAGAAGACAAAACUCUUGAGGUUGUAAACUAUGCAAAACCUGGUUGUUCUUGUGAAGGGUGUUAUAUGCUCGUCUUAGCAAGAGAGAUGAAGAGCAUCUCUAGUAAAAUCUAGGCUUGGACAUUCUGAUCUGAGGUGGUUCAGCAUUAAGAGGUGUGUUGACACAAGCGGCUGCAACUUAUAGUCCACCUUAUCGUGGAUCAAGUGUGAAUGACAAUUCAUUAGUACUAUGGAAUAAAAUUAUUGUCUUGUGAUUGUUUAUCUCCUGGACUCAACUUAUAUACGUGCAAGCUACUUUGAGCAAAUUUAUAUUCCUAAGUACCGGAUUGCUCUUAUUACCUAGGUGGCUAUGUCGCAAAACUUGACAUAGGAUAUGUUGUGUCGUGAGUUAUUUAUUUUCCACUAACCAUAGUUGCUAGUUUUGCAAAAUUAGUUGAAACCCUCUACCUAGUAUCCUUUGAUCCUAAAGUAGCAUGCAGCCAUAUCAUUUACCCUCUUUUGGCAGAUGUAGAUAGAAAGCCGUUGGCUGUGAACUAUGAUGUUUUUUUCCAUGUUUAAACUAACAUUUUUUCGGACAGUGGUUGCUUAUUCUUGAGAUUUGAAAGGUGAUUGUGCUCGUCCGUAAGUGUGCUCUUGCUUAGGGAGCUAGAUGCAUGUAUAUGAGGUGAAAGGACCGUGCCCCUUGGUUUUGUGCUUUCAUGACUGUUAGUUUAAUUUCCUGUUGCCUUGAAGGAGGAAAAAAUAGAGAAGAAAGAAUUAAAAUGCAAGCUACAUUGUACGGGAGAGAGAGGAAGAGGAUAAGAAAGCAGAAAGGUCAAUGCCAUGUCGCAUCUAUGAAAUAUGACAUGAUGACAACUUGCUCAAAAAUGACAUGAGUGGAUUAUUUAGAUGGCAUUCAAUACUCCAAGGGAUGAAUGCAUGGUUUGUGUGCUAGAGUUGGUUAAGUAGAUGAAUAUCAAUACAAAAAGGACUAUCACAUAAUGUUCAUACUCCUUAUCAUAAGACUAUGUCUAAGUUCCUAUGAUACUUGAGGUCAUCACAAAUUUGUGAAAACUCUAUUACAUAUGGUUCACAACUGUGGUAUGCUGCUAUUAAUUGUUUGUGUAAGUUCCUGUGAUAUUGAUGUCACCACACAUUGUGAAAAACUAAAAAACUCUAUCACAAAUGGUUCACAACUAUGAUAUGCUUCUACCUCUAGUUCUUAGCUUAAUGAAUAGUAACUAUUGCCAUGAAAAGUUCUGAGUUAUGAGAUUUGUGUUUGUUAAACAGAUGAGAAAGUCAUGUCCUUUCGGGGGAGAGGGAGAGGGGUAUGUAACUGUCUUGUUUGAGUUGGCUGUACAAAUUAAAAGUAAAAUAACAAAACCUAUACAUAUUAGAUUUUAAAAGUAACAUACCAGAAGUUGAUGUCUUGCAGAUAAUGACGCCAUUCAUUCAAUGGCAUUUUAAAAGAAAAUGGUUCCGCCAUGACUAACGUCAGUAGUUGACUCAAAUUGUCAAAUUGUGGAACCUGCCAGUGGUAGAAGUAAUUUGAACUAGUUAUUAACACAGAAUUACAAAGUUGUUUGGACUAAACAUGAAUAAAUAGUUAAAUAAUUAAACAAUUACUGUUGUGGUCAUUGUUUUAUUUACCUACCUAUGCACAGGUCAAUAUAAUAGCUAGGUAGUUCAUUUGGAUAAAUUUAUUUGUAGCUAGAAAUUGUAAAAUAGAAAUCAGGGCACUGAGUUAGAAUAUUCAAAAAAUGAACUUAUUUCACAUUUGAGCAUUCAGAAGCUAACAUAUAUACAUGAUUAGAUCUAGAUUGCAUACCUACUUAUACAAAAACUAAUCACAUUUACCUUUAUAAGUAUAUUAUGAGUAAGGUUCUACAAAAUUUUUACUGGAGCACACAAAAUAGAUGUCAAUUGAGCGUCUUGUAAAAUACUUUUUUUAACACCUACUGUAACCACGUAUAGGAGGAAGAUUCUCCUGGUUUCAAAAUUAGUAGUCCUGACCUGACCAAAAACAUCGUGUCCUUCAUGAGGCUAGAUGGGGACAAGCUCCUAGAUUCACAUAGUAUUGCAGGGUCGAACCAAUUCAUGGAUUGACAAAAUAUGCAAGUUGCAAGGUACUCGUGCUUCUAGAUAAAGUUGACUUGAUCUAAAUCUUAAAUAAAGUUUACCUCUAAGAUGAAUAAAUUUCUACUUUCAUGCGUAAUCAUAACAAAAUCAUUUAAAAUUUAAUGUAUCGGUUUAAUUGAAUUUAAUGUUAAUCACUCCUAUAGUUAGUGUUUAUUUACCUCUGAUUUAACUUUGGCUGGUUGUCUAUAGUGAAUUUUCCCGGCGGAAUAACUUAGCGUGAUAUAACAUCAUACAGUUCCUUCGCCAAGAAAGCAAAAUUUUAACCUGAAGGUUGGCAAUACAUAUUGUCUCUCCAAGUAUGCUCCAGAAGAAAACACUUGUUUAUAUAAUAGUCCUGAGAAAUAAUGAGCAGUUCACAGCCAUUAUAUUAAUCAGAGCUUUUUAGUGCUAGCAAAUCAUGAAACAAGAAUGAUGCGUAUUAGUACCUGGUGCCAAAGUUUGUUGAUACUGCGUGGAUGACAGGAUAUGACUUUAACUUUCUGGGUUUCAGUUUGAACGGGGUUGGAUCAUAUCAAUAUUUUUGGUGUGUCAAUUUGUCACUAGAAGAAGAAAGUAAUUGCUAGAACGAAGGAAUAAAUAAAUUAUGUUUUGUUAGAACCAAUAAAUGAAAGAAAGGCAUUAGCUGUAGUGUAGAAGAACAAUGGAAAGGGAAUUUUUUCACUUUUUUUUAUUUAUCACGAAGGAAAAAGGGCACGAAACAAGAGCAUGUAAAAUAAAAAGGAUAAAACGACAUAAAAAUGCAGACUAACUGUACAGGAAUCAGCAUAUGUUUCUGUGAUUUUUAACUAAAGUUGAUGAACAAAAGCCAUAAUUCUAGGUAUGAAAGAACAAGAGUGAUAGGCAAACAAUCAGAUGUUUUUCUUGGGGUGGUGAUGGGGUGUUUGUGGAGGAUGGAUGGAGCUUUUUGUACUGUACUAGUUACUUCGUUGGGAACCUGAGAGAACCAGAACUGGCUGGUGGAGCAAAUGAGCAAAACGAAUAGCUGGGAAGGGAGUUGGCCAUUGUCCAUUGCUGUGCUCUCUUAUAGACAGGAAGCGAGGAACAGAGGGGCAAUAUUCUCUGGUUACGACAGCACGCAAAGUAUGCAUCUCUCAGCAAAGCUAAAGACUAAAGUUGAGAAUGCCUAAGGAAUGGAUCAUACCAUGUCCAGAGAAGAAAAUGUAACAUGCAGGCUUAAAGAAUAAAGGGCAUCCCAGGAUGGAGUAACAACCAUGACAAGGCACCAUGGCACGCCUUAAUAAAGCACGCGAGCGGAGCAAAGGAAUAGUAGUAUUGCUUUGCUUAUAUCACAGUUGACAAUUUACCUCAACAACUGAACAUGACUACUCGUUCCGAUCCCGUCCGUUGGAUCCUCGCCUCGUCUGCUCUCUCGCCUCUCUCUCUCUCUCUCUCUCUCUCUCUCUCUCUCUCUCUCUCUCUCUCUCUCUCUCUCUCUCUCUCUCUCUCUCUCUCUCUCUCCCUCCCGUCAUCCAUGGCCAUGGAGAUCGAUCCCAUAAUCCCAUUCUCAUGCAGUCGCACUCGGAUGGCAGACACGAUCCCUACGGCCUACGUGUACGGCGAAUGGCGGCGAACGUGAUUUGAAACAGGCGGUGUCAUCUGAAUCUGCACGAAUCCAAUCCCUAAACGAGAAGAUGGAAACACAAGAGGAUUCAUAUCGACCUGACCGUUGACUCGUGGUGCCUAGUUAGCGAAACAGGACACAAUGCAAGCUACUAUGGCAAGCAAAUGAGCAAAACUAAGGAACCAGACAGCACUAUUGUUCUGAGCCGUCUCAACAUCAUCUGUCCAAUCCGAAAUGUAAACAUUUCCUAGUGUCCAGACUCCAGAACCAUUACUAGCAAUUAGUAGUUUAAAUUUUUAGUUGACACUCGAUCCGCACGCUGCCGGUACUUUGAAGCAUAAUUUACUUGAUUGCAGAUUAGCAGCCGAUCAAUCCACGAAGCAAACGUCCACUAGCUAGUACUAGAUCAAGCAUUGCAGGAAAUUAAACAAACUUUAUUAAUUUCAAACAAAGCAGACUCUGUUAUAGUACACCAAUUCAAUACUUCAAAUAGAACAUACAUAAUCAAACAAGAGCAAGUUCAACAACACGUAGCAGCAAACAUACAUUACAUAGAUUAUAUAAUAAUAAUUUUGGCAUGCCGAGAUGGUCAUGCUGACAGACAAUCCGAUACUAUUGUAGCAAACAGAUUUAUAUUAUUACACCAGGCCAGUUUCACGCCGGCAAUCAAAGUCAAUGCAAAAACUGAUCGAAACAAGCACACAAGACACCCUUUUUUCUGGGAACUUAGCUUCUUCAUUAAUUAAGCAGCAUCAUUACAAUCAUUAAGCAGGCAUAGCUGCAAGAAGCUAGGGAAUUUUGGUUGGUCAUCAACCUCCAUCCCUGUUUGCCCAGCAUUGCGAUGUUGAAGAGUUUGAUGUCCCUGAAGCCCAUGCCUCCAUAGCACUUGGGUAAAGUGAGCUCCGACCAGCGCCUCCAGUGUAUUCCCCGGCGAUCAACCUUGCUGCUCCACCAGUAGUUGGAGAUAGCCGAAGUUGUAGCACUGUAAGGGUGCACGGGAACCUGAGUAAAUUUCUGCUGCACGCGUUGUCUCGCUUCGAGGCGGCACGGGGGCGCCUCCCACCUGCCGCCGCCAGCCCCGUCCAGCAGCCCAGCCGGCCGCCAUCCUGUCGGCCGGCGGCAGCAGCGGCCACACCCUGUUGGUGUUUUAUACCGGCAACCUAAUGAAGAGUAUUCUGAGGUAGUAAAUUGGUUGGUGGGGGAUCGUCGGAUCUGGAACUCGAAGGUAAAAGUGAGGAUAGAAGACACAAAUUUAUACAGGUUCGAACCGCUAGAGUAAUGUAAUAUCAUACAUCCUGUUUGGGGUGUUGUAUAUUGUGCCUUGCGCUUGGGUGUUGUUUGGUGUUUAGGAUUUGGUCCUCUGUUGUGGUUCUAUGACAUCUUUGUCUACUGAUCUAGGGACCCCUGCCCUCCUUUAUAUACUCCAAGGGGUGGGAUUAAUAGUCGGUUAUAAGGAGGAGUCCUAGUAGGAUUACAUGGUAUGACUUCUGAUAGGAUUACAGAGGAAUCCUAGUAGGAGUCCGUCUUCUUACUUCCUUGCGGGUACUGGGGAUCUAUCCCCAACACGCUCCUUCCCUCCCCUCCCAUUUUCCUCUCUCCUCUAACCUUCUCCCUCUCCCCUGUCUCCCAUCAAGUGCUGCUAGUUGUUGCCGCUGGCUUGCUGGCUGCUGCCGCCCAUGGAGGUCAACAUUGCAGAUCUGGGUGGCGGCGCGCUGGAUUCGAACCGCAGCCCACCAGAUUUGGGUGGUAGGGUCCAUCUGCGGCUGCCUGGUGCCGGCGAUGUUUAGGGCUCUGCGGCGGUCUGGGAGCGGGGUGCUGGGGUCGACCAGUGGAGCUUUCUCUCUCGGCAUGCCUGUGCCUCCAGCAGGUUGAGAGAUCUCCGUCGUGCACUGGCUGGCGUGCGCUCCUGCCAUUCGGAAUCUCCAGCCGCUGGGCCCGUGGCCGCUGCAGUCUAGGAUCGCCCAUGGUUCGCUGCAGACUGGAGGUGGGGACCUCUCCCCUUCGCCUCUCCGAUCCCCCGGCCUGCCGGAGCUAGCUGUUGGGGGUGUUGCGGUGUGUCCGGGUGCCACUACCAUUAGGUGGCAUGUGUGGUGGGCUAUCUUCAUCUCAUUCCAAGAUCUUCAGGCGUAAGCCCUACUCGGUGCUGUGCUGAGCCAACAACAACGGUGGUUGCGGGCGUCGUUCCCCUCCUCAGAGGCGUUGUUGAAAAGUCUCGGGAGACAUAGACCUUCCGCCCCGCUGCCGCUUUGCCGUUGAUGUGUUCCACCUGUGCUUUCACUGCUUUGGCCGCUGUCCUUUGUUUGGUUGCUGCCACCAUUGGUGGUUCCAUCCCGUCGGCGCUGCUUGUGGAUGGUUGCUUCGCUGGGGGUGUCGCGGCACACUUUGGGGGAUAGGGGUGAGGCGUAAGCCUCUGCCUGCUUGCGGGCUAGUGAUGGCGAUGUCCUCGGGCACCGUUUCCCUCCUUGGAGGCAUCAUUCAUUUGCCCCUUGCCCCUUCGAGACCCCAAGUCUGGACGGUGUGGUUCUUCCUCAGUACCUGCCUUCGCUUUGUUUUACACACUGUCACAUUGGUUGCCUAGGUCAUGGCAGAUGCUUUGCCACCCUAUCGUGUUGUUGCAAAUGGUCAUCGUUCUGGGCGAAUGCUUUGUUGCCUCUUUGUGUUGGUCAGGUGGACAUUUGUGCCACCACUGAUUGCUCCAUGCGGAUGCUUUGCUGCUGUUCUUCUACUCUAGCGGAUGCUUUGCCGCAAUGGUCGUGCUGUUCGGUGGAUGCUUCGCCACCGUUUUGUGUUGAUUGCUUCGGGCGGAUGCUUUGCCGCCGUUCUUCUACUUUGGCGGAUGCUUUGCCGCCAUGGUUGUACUAUUUGGUGGAUGCUUCACCACCGUUUUGUGCUUCGAGAUUGCUCUCUCUUUCUCGGCUCCAAGGCGAUGGUGUAUUCCUUUUGCAGGUUCAGUUCUUAAGGUGGCCUUGUUAGGGUGGCAGGGUUGGGUGUGUCCUCUCCCUUCGUGCUUCUCUUCCUGUCUGUUUGUUGUGGUUACCACUUCGGUCGCUUGUCGGCUGUGAGUUUGUUUGUACUUUUCUUCAGUGUUUAUCUAUUUUUAGUCCUUUGUGCUCUUGUGUUGGUCAAGCUCUGUUUGGCUACAUUAAGUAUUGUAUCUAUAAACUGCUUUCUUCUUAAUGAAAUACGUGCUAACACUACUAGAGAACUCAACUUCCAUCCAACCCUUUUUGUCCUAGUUGACUUUGGACCCGGGACUAAAGGCAUACUUUAGUCCCAGGUCAAAAAUAAGCCACUGAAGGCCACGGAUGGGGGGAGUUUUAGUUCUGGUUGUAAAGAUCAACCGGGACUAAACCCCCCUAGUCUCGGUUGUAACGGCUAAAAAAUUUGGCAUCGAUGGUGGGAGCUUUUGCUCUUAUCCCAGUUGGUAAUUCCAACCAGGACAAAAGAUUUAGUCUCGGUUAGAAAUUCCAAUCGGGACAAAAGGCGAGUCUCGGUUGGAAAUUCUAACCGGGACAAAAGCUCCUCGCCUAUAAAUUCCCCUUGCUUCUUCCUCCCCGAGCCCGAGCCACUCCACCAGACCGAGGGCUUCUUCCUCCUCCUCUCCAUGGCAAUCAAGCAACCUUAGAGAGGUGCUGCCCGAUUUUUUCCUCAUUUCUGUGGGGAUUUCACUUAUCCAAAGUGUUGUAAAUAUUAGCUACUUCAUCCUCCCUUCAUUUCUUAUUAUUAUGCUUUGUUUUAUGCUUUAGAGAUAGAGAAAAAUGAGUUUUUUAGAAUGAGGGAGAAUUGAGAGGAUUUUUAUUUAUAAAUAUUUUUGAGCUAGAAUUUGAUGGAUAGCUUGCUUGUUAUAUAUGAUUCGUAUUAGGUAAAGAACUUUAUCAAUAUUAGGUAUGGGAAAAAAAUAGAGUAAAUGUGUUUUUAAUAUUAAGUCAUUGCAAUAAAAUAAGGUAAAUAAAUUGUAGGUGUAAGAAAUAGAAUUUGGUCAUUGCUAUAGUUUUUCAUGUUACUGUAAUUUAACAAUAAUUGUAUUUCUUUGACUAGUAAUUUAUUUAUCUCAUAUUUAUUGCAAGAACUAAAUAUUAUAAAUACAUUUACUCUAUUUUCUCCCCUACCUAAUAUUGAUCAAGUUCUUUAUCUAAUACGAAGUCCUAUGUUCAUUUUUAACGUAAUACGAUGCAGAUGGAUCGGCAGUAGAUGUACCACCUCCGCUCCUCCAACCCUAGAGAAUAGUGUCUGCACAUAGCAUGAAUGUGCUUACACUAUUCUCUGGUAUUGGAGGAGCGGAGGUGGCUCUUUAUUUUACUUUGUAUGAUUAGUUUGUAAAUAUAUUGUAGGUGUAAAAAAUAGAAUUUGGUCAUUACUACAAUUUUUUGGAAAGUUUGCAUGUUAAAUUAGAGUGAUAUGAAAAUUACACCGGUCAACAUAAUGCUACAAUUGUAGAACAGGACAACAAAGAUACACUAAUAAAGACUACAGACGCUCCAUAGUGGACUUCACGGAGUCAAGAAUCCAAAAAUAAUGGUAGAACAGAAGAAUUUCGAAGAAACUCGGGCUGAAUAUCAUAAAAGAAUCUUGAAAUAGUAUUCCAAACGGCUUUUGAAACCUAAUUCUCAUAAUAGAGUGUACUGGCCCAAUAUCCGCUUUAGGCAGAGAUAUGACCUUGACCUAGCGGCUUUUGGUUGGUUUUGGCUUGCCACCAUGGGCCAUGCUCAAUGAACAGAUCUUUUGCCUGGACGUACUAUUAUGUGUGUGCCACCAUAGUUCUAUUAUGAUAAUGUGACACUUGCUCCAAAAGAUGUUUGGACAAUUAUUUCAAGAUUCCUUUACGAUAUUCAGCCUGAGUAUGUGGAUUCGAAGAUCUUCUGUUAUACCAUUAUUUUCUGGUACUAGAGGAGCGGAGGUGACUCUCCAUAGACUUCGUAGAAGAUUGAGUCAUGUGCAGAGGUGGUUUGGAGGGCGAAUAUUCUGCUAUGUUGUACCAUUAUUAUAGGAUAAUUGACUACAUGAAAUCCACUAUGUAGCAUCUAUAAUCUUUAGUGUAUAUGUAUCUUUAUUGUCUUGUUUCAGAAUUCUAGCAUUUGUCUUUUUGUCGACGUAGUGAAUGUUAUGAAUGUUGAUUGGUGUAAUUUUCAUGUAAAUCGUUUUUAUCUUUAUGACGGUUGAUUGGUCUAAAUUAUCAAUAUUGAUCAGGUUCUUUAUCUAAUACGAAGACCUAUGUCCAUUUCUCACGUAAUAUGAUGCAGAUGGAUCGGCAAUGAAUAUAUAACGCGGAUAGAUGGAUCAAAGAGUUUGUUGAUGGCUUGCAUUAUUUUCUCGAAGUGACCAAAGUCAACAAGCUAGAGAAGGGAUUCAUAUAUUGCCCAUGCCUCGAAUACAGUAACAAGAAGGACUACUCUUCCUGAGGGACUGUUCACAGCCACUUGUUUAGAUUUGGUUUCGUGCCUAACUAUUUGGUUUGGACCAAGCACGGCGAAAGAGAGGUUAUAAUGGAAGACGGUGAAGAUGAGGAGGAUGAUAACAACAUUACGGACUGGACAGCAGGCUAAGCUUUUGUAGAUACUACAAUGGGCGAGGCUGAUGAAGAAGAGUUUGCAGAAGAUGGCCGUAUUGAUGAUCUUGGUCAGGUGCUAGGGGAUGCAUAGGGAGAUUGCGAAACUGAGAAGGAAUCAGAAAAGUUGCAGCGCAUGAUAGAUGAUCACAAAAAAUUGUUGUACCCAGAUUGCAAGCAGGGGCAUAAAAAACUGGGUACCACACUAGAAAUGCUAUAAUGGAAAGCAAAAAAUGGUGUGAGCGAUAAGGCAUUUUAGGGGAUAUUGAAAAUUGUAAAGAACAUUCUUCCCAAGAAUAAUGAAUUGCCAUCCAUAACAUAUGAAGCUAAACAGGUUAUUUGCCCUAUGGGAUUGGAGGUUCAGAAGAUACACGCAUGCCCUUAUGACUGUAUCCUCUAUCGUGGUGAUGAAUAUGAGAAAUUGGAUGCUUGUCCUAUGUGCGGAGCGCUGCUAUAAGAUCAGGCGAGAUGAUCACAGCCACAUAAUUCUUCCAAAUAAAAGAAAAAUCGUGGGAGUCGAAGACAAAACAGAGCAGUCAAAUGAUUAUGAUCAGUUUGAUGGCAUGCUUCCAUUCGUUGUCGAAGUUGACCCAAGCAUCAUGCUAGCCAAAGAAGAGGUUCCGUACUUACGCCGCAAUUAUGACCAAGGAACUUUCGUUAAGAAGAAGUUUUUUAACGUUACAUUGUAAUGCACUAAAUAUGGUGCACCUUCAUGUAAUGCUUUAUGGCCAUCAGAACCUUUGGAUUAUAUUGUAAUACUCUAUGGUGAACAUUUAUUCGAUCUAUAUAAAUAAUGUUAACUUAACCACAUUUUUUGCACAGUGAAAUUAUUUAAUUGAAGAAUUUGUUGAUCAUAGUGAUGCAUUAAAAUAAUUAUUUUAGAAAUUUAAACAACUAGUAUAGAAUUAAUGACUGAUUCAAACUUAUUUUAAAUAUACUUGCUAAUUUAAUAUAUUUUUGCAUGUUCAAAAUACGUAAAGUUUUUAUUUUUCUUUAACAACAAAACAACUUAAUAUAUAUAUAAAUUAAAAUUGCAAAAGUCAGAGGAAAUGAAAGGGGGACCUUUAGUCUCGGUUGUAAAUUCUAACCGGGACUAAAGGGUGCUUUUUUCACCUCCCACGCGAAAAGCACCCCGGUUGGAAAUUGCAACCGGAACUAAAGGGGGGCCUUUAGUCAUGGGUUGAAUUUGCAACCGGGACUAAAGGCCCUUUAGUCCUGGUUGCAAAGUCAACCUGAGACUAGGGGGUUUAAAACAUCCACCCCUUUCUCCCCUGCCUCGUCCCCCUCACUUCACUGCUGGAUCCCCCACCCCGACCAGUGUCUUCUCCGCUCGUCUCCCUCCGCCGUCCGCCCGCCGUCUUCCCCAGCCGCCGUCCACGCCCCAUCCUCCGUCAAUCCGCGCCCGCCCCAUCCGCCAUCCACCCGUGCCCCGAUCAUACAAAGAUAAUGGAGGGAAGGCUUCACAUCACCGAAGUAACCGAAGAGGGCCAGCCAAUUGCUCCCGAAAAUGUGGUUAGAAAGUUUGUGAGCUAAUGCAGGGCUAUUGUAAGGGAUAACAUGCCCAUCAGCAUUAAGGAAUGGAAGGGUAAACAAAAUGAUCCAUAUGUACUCCCGCAGACACAAAAAAAAUGUGAAACCCUAAAAUAUGUUGUGGGCAGAUGUCAAGAAACACUUCACACUUCCUGAAGGUGUCAACGAAAAAGUUGUGAAAGAGUGGACGCUGAAGAAGUUGGCAACCCAAUUCCAAACCUUCAAGAAGAAUCUGGAUGCCAACAUUAUCAAGAAGGGCCGAACUCCAGAUUUUGAUCAGUGGUCAAAGUUAAAGGACCACUAGAACUCAUUUCUAGAAUACAAGAUGAGUGAAAUUAGUGCGACCAAGGUUCGUGUUCACUCAACCAAUGCUCAGAAGAAGGAGUACCAUCACCGUUUAGGGCGAGGUGGUUACAUGAGUGCAAUUUCGAAAUGGAAAGGGAUUGAACAAGACCUAUUCGAUCGAGGUAUCGUACCAGCGACUAUUGACUAGCUCGAUCGAUCGAAGAAUUAGUAUUACGCUCACGGAGGCAACCUGAGCCAAGAGGAUGGGAUACUUAUUGUGCGUUUGGUUGGGAGACAAUGUAGAACGGGAUGGUCCCGUCCCAGUUUUUCGGGAUAGGAUGAUCCUAUUUCAUGUUUGGUUGAAUGUGAUGGGUCCGUCCUAAUGUUUUGUUUGGUUGGAGAGAUUGCUAUAGAGGGACGAGCACCGUUUUCUCCUUCUGUUAACACCGUUCGUGGGGCCCACCUAUCAUACUAACCGCCAUCUUCUUCCUCCACCCCGGUUCCGCUGUUGGCUCUUGGGCUCGCCGUUGCGCCGCUGGGGGAGCUUGCCCCGGGCGCGCCGCCCGUGAAUCGGGCCUCGCCGGCCUCGAGCCGCCGCUUGCCGAAUCUCAGGGGCCGUGGGGGAGCUCGCGCGCACCGGCCGUGGCGGAGGUCCCGCCCGCCGGCCGUGCUCGCCCGCGCCGGCCGUGCUCGCUCGCGCCGGCCCCUCCACCGCGGCCGGCCCCUCCGCCGGCGGCUCCCCCCCUGCCCAACCUCGCCCCCUCCACCGGUGCGGAUGGACGGCGCGUGACGGGGGCGAAGUGGGAUGCCCCCGUCCGCUUGUUUUGGUGGGAUGGGGGCAUCCCGCAUCUGGAGGGUAUAUUACCUCAUAGGGAUGUCCCCAUCCCACCUGUCUCCAAACCAAACACGGGAUGAAGUGGGAUCGUCCCGUCCCGUCCCACUUCGUCCCUCAAACCAAACACACCCUUAUGUUCAAGGCCAAAAGGCUUAUCCAAAACAUUGAAGAUGCUAAAGCAGGAAAGAUGAAGGUUGAUAGAGAUAACGAUGAGCUCACUUUGGCGCUCGGGAAUCCCGAACACCGUGGAUGUUGACGAGGCUUCAGGGUCGUUCUGUGGAAGUUUGCUUUCCGUAGGGACAUCGACACGUACAGAAGCCGCAAGAGAAGAAAGGAAUGGCAAGAGGAGAGCUAGCGGUGCAUGUUAGAAGCUAAAGUGCAUUCACAAGAAGUAAGAAUGCAGGAAGAAAUUAAUCGGCGAGUGGUCCUGGUAGUUACUGAGAUGGCUCAAUCUGGAGCACUGUCGGAUCCCAACGUCGCCAUCCCUUCUCAACGCUAAAGCACCUGUGCUUCCACAAGGGUACCCUGUGGAUGACAUCACUCAGCGCACCUCAUUUGAGCUGUAUAGACCAUUUGGUAACAUCUAUACAUAUAUAUAAUUUAUGCAAUCUUCUCAAUUGAUCCAUGCCUGGGGAGUUUAAUAACUUCUUUAUUUCUCCUAUAUGUACAGGUGGCGUACAGAAGUGCUUUACCAAUCUUGCCAGGACAGACAAGCCAUGGUAUGGAGAUUCCACCGGGCUACUCCAGCAUUGGCCUAGAGCAGAUUUGUGAUAGUCAAUAUGAAGGCCUAGAGCUCGACCUCCCGGGAGGUGACAGGGAAAGGACACUAGGAGAUGCACUUCACGAGAUCAUUCUAUGACGCGAACGUUACGUCAUCAUCCCUAGUAAGAAGGCAUCAUUGCUUCCCAUAGAUCCCCCGCAGCGACCAUCUCCUCAGAACUCAAGACCAUCUUCUCCAGCACAUCUACCUCUAGGACCGUCGUCACCACCGGGACCAUCGCAUCCUGCUCGAUCACCGUCUCCAUCUCCAUCGAAUCCUAGUGGUGCGAGCAACGAUGACCAAAACACCCCUCCCUAAUCACCGUCGCUGGGACUAAACUCUAGUGUGAGCAAGGAACUUGCAGCACCUCUGAAGAAGCCGCGACCGCUGCCUUCCAAGCCAAGGCAACCAAAGACGAAAGAACCUGUUAAGAAAACAAAGAAGCCUGAACCAAUUCAAAAGCUACCGGUCGAUAUAACUACUGAGGAAUUGCGGGAGGCAUCGCAAGCAACGGUGGAGGGUGGCAUCUCGCCAUCUCCUCAAGGUUGGAGCAUUUGACAAGCAGGAGCUCUUUUAGAUUAGGCAUGUUAUGGAAGAAGUCUCCUUGGAAGUUGCUUAUAUUUGAAUAGGAGAGAUCGAAGUAGUAGAGCGAGCUGAGCUUUUUGUUGUUG
This 18116-nucleotide long non-coding RNA is filed under the name Setaria italica (foxtail millet). RNAcentral describes it as "long non-coding RNA (SITA_LNC005201)". The record is from RNAcentral. Lineage: Eukaryota; Viridiplantae; Streptophyta; Magnoliopsida; Poales; Poaceae.